GCAGUGAUGAAGAGGGGUUCGAUCGGUC
This 28-nucleotide small RNA is filed under the name Bombyx mori (domestic silkworm). RNAcentral's name for it is "piRNA piR-bmo-1831815". Lineage: Eukaryota; Metazoa; Arthropoda; Insecta; Lepidoptera; Bombycidae. The record is from RNAcentral.